RNAcentral lists this non-coding RNA (31 nucleotides) under Rattus norvegicus (Norway rat). The record is from RNAcentral. Lineage: Eukaryota; Metazoa; Chordata; Mammalia; Rodentia; Muridae.
UAAACCCUUGAAUGGCUCCAAAUGUUGUGAC